This 70-nucleotide transfer RNA is filed under the name Phocoena phocoena (harbor porpoise). RNAcentral's name for it is "transfer RNA-Arg". It matches the Rfam family "tRNA". From Rfam's summary of the family: Transfer RNA (tRNA) molecules are approximately 80 nucleotides in length. Their secondary structure includes four short double-helical elements and three loops (D, anti-codon, and T loops). Lineage: Eukaryota; Metazoa; Chordata; Mammalia; Artiodactyla; Phocoenidae. The record is from RNAcentral.
UGGUACUUAGUUUAAGAUAAAAUAAGUGAUUUCAACUCACUAGACUGUGAUUUAAACUCACAAGUACCAA